RNAcentral lists this ribosomal RNA (370 nucleotides) under uncultured bacterium. RNAcentral describes it as "bacterial SSU rRNA". It matches the Rfam family "Bacterial small subunit ribosomal RNA", at positions 28 to 423 of the family's 1533-position model. The record is from RNAcentral.
GACGAACGCUGGCGGUGUGCUUCACACAUGCAAGUCGAACGAGGUAGCAAUACCUAGUGGCGGACGGGUGAGUAACGCGUGGGAAUCUGCCUUUAGAUGGGGGAUAACGGGUCGAAAGACUCGCUAAUACCGCAUAUGACGAAAGUUGAAAGGAGUAGUCCGUCUAAAGAUGAGCCCGCGUCCGAUUAGCUAGUUGGUAGAGUAAAAGCCUACCAAGGCGACGAUCGGUAGCUGGUCUGAGAGGAUGAUCAGCCACAAUGGGACUAGAGACACGGCCCAUAACUCCUACGGGAGGCAGCAGUGGGGAAUUUUACGCAAUGGGCGAAAGCCUGACGUAGCGACACCGCGUGAGCGAAGAAGCCCCUUGGGG